GAGGGUACAGCUCAGUGGUAGAGUGCUUACCUAGCAUGCAAGAGGUCUUGAGUUCAAUCCCCAGUACCUCCA
RNAcentral lists this transfer RNA (72 nucleotides) under Camelus bactrianus (Bactrian camel). It matches the Rfam family "tRNA". From Rfam's summary of the family: Transfer RNA (tRNA) molecules are approximately 80 nucleotides in length. RNAcentral also lists the same sequence under 2 other names. The record is from Rfam by way of RNAcentral. Lineage: Eukaryota; Metazoa; Chordata; Mammalia; Artiodactyla; Camelidae.